UGGGGAAUAUUGCACAAUGGGCGCAAACCUGAUGCAGCCAUGCCGCGUGUAUGAAGAAGGCCUUCGGGUUGUAAAGUACUUUCAGCGGGGAGGAAGGGAGUAAAGUUAAUACCUUUGCUCAUUGACGUUACCCGCAGAAGAAGCACCGGCUAACUCCGUGCCAGCAGCCGCGGUAAUACGGAGGGUGCAAGCGUUAAUCGGAAUUACUGGGCGUAAAGCGCACGCAGGCGGUUUGUUAAGUCAGAUGUGAAAUCCCCGGGCUCAACCUGGGAACUGCAUCUGAUACUGGCAAGCUUGAGUCUCGUAGAGGGGGGUAGAAUUCCAGGUGUAGCGGUGAAAUGCGUAGAGAUCUGGAGGAAUACCGGUGGCGAAGGCGGCCCCCUGGACGAAGACUGACGCUCAGGUGCGAAAGCGUGGGGAGCAAACAGG
This 429-nucleotide ribosomal RNA is filed under the name Chloroflexota bacterium. Its description in RNAcentral is "Chloroflexi bacterium partial 16S ribosomal RNA". It matches the Rfam family "Bacterial small subunit ribosomal RNA", at positions 355 to 776 of the family's 1533-position model. Lineage: Bacteria; Bacillati; Chloroflexota. The record is from RNAcentral.